Molecule: ribosomal RNA, 253 nt
Filed under: uncultured bacterium
Lineage: Bacteria
Description: partial 16S ribosomal RNA
Rfam family: Bacterial small subunit ribosomal RNA
Source: RNAcentral
UACAGAGGGGGCAAGCGUUGUUCGGAAUUACUGGGCGUAAAGGGCGCGUAGGCGGCCUGCUAAGUCGAACGUGAAAUCCCUGGGCUCAACCCAGGAACUGCGUCCGAGACUGGUUGGCUUGAAUCCGGGAGAGGGAUGUGGAAUUCCAGGUGUAGCGGUGAAACGCGUAGAUAUCUGGAGGAACACCGGUGGCGAAGGCGGCAUCCUGGACCGGCAUUGACGCUGAGGCGCGAAAGCCAGGGGAGCAAACGGG